Molecule: transfer RNA, 74 nt
Filed under: Danionella cerebrum
Lineage: Eukaryota; Metazoa; Chordata; Actinopteri; Cypriniformes; Danionidae
Description: tRNA-Val
Rfam family: tRNA
About the family: Transfer RNA (tRNA) molecules are approximately 80 nucleotides in length.
Source: RNAcentral
GCUUUCCUGUGGCUCAGUUGGUAGAACAUUGCGCUAACAACGCAAAGGUUGUGGGUUCAAUCCCAGGGAAAGCA